Molecule: long non-coding RNA, 462 nt
Organism: Fukomys damarensis (Damara mole-rat)
Lineage: Eukaryota; Metazoa; Chordata; Mammalia; Rodentia; Bathyergidae
Exons: 3
Source: RefSeq, a predicted model, not a curated record
UGCCAACAUAAUGGCCAGAACUCUAGAAUCUAUCUCAUAGAAAGACAGAACAUAAGAAUAACAGACUGACAUUCAGAAAAAUCCCUGAAAACCCCAGAUUAGCUCUGGACUGUUUACUACUUUUGUGGGGGAAUGCAGGAGACUGAACAUACAGCUUCCCACACACUCCACCACUGAGCUACAAACCAGACAGAGGAAAGUAAACUACUUCUAGCAAAUCACGUAUCAACUACAACUGUGAUUCACUUAGUUUUUCUACCUGCAGGUAAACAGAAAAGGCCACAUGAUGCACCAGGAAACCUAAGUAGGGAUUCUGGCUGAGUAUCAAAAAAGGAACUGGAUAAAUAAAAGAAAGAAAUUUAAGCAGUGUUCUGGAAGACACAGGUGGGAAUAAAAGAUGCUGCCUUGCAACUACCUCAAACUCCUGGGCUCAAGGAAACUUCCGGCCUCAGUCUCUACAGG